GAAGCUUUGGACUUUGGGUGGAGCUGAAACCAGCUUACAAAUAGAACGAUCAUAUGGGUUUGGCUGUCUUGUGUUUGACUAAGAUGUGUAACUGACAAAUAAUCACAUUGUUUUGCUGUCUUGUGAUAAAAAGAUGUAUGUAACUGGCAAUUGAUUACAUUGUUUAGGCUGUCUCAUGACUGGUUGAGAUAUUGCUUCACUAUGGAAAAUGUUUUGCUUGGCAGUUUUUUAGAAUGAUAUAUAAAGGGCAGUUAGAAGUCGAUACAGAGAGAGUUAGUGUGUGACAGUUAGUGUUGACACAAGUCGACGAGGUAGCACCAACAGGUGCAGGAAGAGAGAGCAGUUAUUCUCAGGAAGAUUUUCAGAAGCAGCAUCCUCCUAAGAGGAUUUUUUAAACUUAGAUUUACUCUUUUUUGUAUUUUUUAAUCUUGAAAUAAACUUUUUGGAAAAAGAAUCCUCAUUCUCGAUUCUCAAAGGUCUCUUUUAGCCUUUGAGUGGGAGCCCCGACCAGAUCUAAAGGAGAGAGAUGAGAUGAUUGCAGCAGCAUGGGAAAUCUCUAAGCAUGAUCAGAGACAGGAACACCCUGAUAGGCCUAUUCUGAUGGUCUACGUGCUGCUGGCCAGACUGACUACUCUGGACCUAAGCGAGACCUCCAUUGAACUCCCACCCCUCCCUCCUCACCCAUUUCAGGAUCAAAGCUCAGCUGGAUGCCUUGGGACUGAAUGAGAAUGAUGCUGCCAUCCACCCUUGACCACACCAUAACCAUGCUAACUCAUAUCAUGGCAUUUCCUGUAGAUAGCCCAAGAAUGCUACUGUUUGUCUUGUUUCUUUUAUUCUCGGUCUCCGUGGAAUGUCAAAUAACACAAUAUGCAAGAGGAAAUAUUGGAUUUCGCCAUCACCAAAGUGUUUAUUUGUUGGAUUUAUAUGCAGAACUGGUGGUCUGCUGAACGUUGCCUGGAGAUGGACCAAACAACUGGUCUGCGGUCGAAGUGAAGUGGUCCUUUUAAAAAUCAUAUCAAGCUAUAUGGGCUUGGAGUUCAGCGUUUCACACACUUCUGUCUUUGUUUUCUGUGCACAAUUGGAUAAAUGUGUCUGUUCAGCUAAGCUGUAGUCAGCCAAAACUGCCCAAAUGGUUUCAAUUGCGAGGCAAAAUCCUUGCAAGACGAGUUACCUCAUUGAAAUAAUAUCUCCCACCCCCCUUGAAUUCUUUAGACUGCCAAUAUAUAUCCGUAUGCAUCAAAAUAUCUGGCAUGGAUGCAGUUAAAACCUGUCUUUCUUAUUUUUGCAGGACCAUUAGGGCCCAUCUCAUGCAGAUAAUAUGCUGAAUAUAAUUCUUCUGUCUAAAUGCAGGAGAUAUUUUUGGGUAAAUACAAAUCAUUGGAGUUUCACUGCUGAAUUUAAUUAAGCAAUGAGGCCAACAAGGUAAAUUAGGAUUGGAGCUGAGUCAGUCUUACAGAGGCCUCUUUAUACCACUGUCAAAGUGAAAGGGGCCCAAGGUUAGCAUGCAUCACACAUAGGAAAACACCCGGCAGCCCCCCAGACAGGGGACGAGACCAGAGCAGUCUGCCUCUGAAUCCCUCUUUGCUCGCUGUUUAUAAGGGCCAUGCCGCCUCACCAGAACCACUUUCAAAGGGCUUUCCUCCACAUUGUGAGGCCCCCCAUUUCCUCUUCUUUCUCAGGAGGGAAAUGUAAGUGUGUAGGAGUGGAAAUGUUGCAGAGUUUAAGGGAAAUGAAUGGACGAAUAAAGCAAUGUUAUUUGUGGAACUGAGAGGCCCAUAGGCUUAAAAUAAACUUACACAAAACGACUUACUGGAAACUGCACAGUCGUCUGUUGUUGAUUAUUGUCUCAUUUUUCUGCAGGCACAGACUGUUAGAGAGCAGGAUGGAGAAAGAAUAUGUAAACUUUUGUUCGAUCAAGGUCACAGAGUGGCCAGAUGCAAGGCUCUCUAUCUACCCCUGGGAUCGGUCUUCCUAUUGGACAUCCCGUCUCUGAUGAAUUGUCACUCUUCUCAUUGAAGACCACAAAGAGGAAGCUGGCCACUGCCAGGACAAACCCACUUGACCUUGUUGGCCAAUAGGAUCGUUCCAGCUGUCCAGCAUCCUUUGCACUCACAGAGCCACAGCUGCCUCAGGAGCUCUUCUUCUGGAAUUUUGUGUGUGUGUGUGUGUGUGUGUGUGUGUGUGUGUGUGUGUGUGUGUGUGUGUGUGUGUGUGUGUGUGUGUGUGUGUGUGUGUGUGUGUGUGUGUGUGUGUGUGUGUGUGUGUGUGUGUGUGUGUGUGUGUGUGUGUGUGUGUGUGUGUGUGUGUGUGUGUGUGUGUGUGUCCUUCCUCUCCCUAAUCUCUGACCACACACACUUGUUCACUUGUGACAGGCAGCCGCUGCCUCUUGGCUCAGGUCCAGUCCUCCCACUGGUCUUCUGCUCUGCUCGAGAAAACUGCACGUUGUGAGGAAAAUGAACAGGAAAGUUGGGGGAUACUUCAGGGUCAACUGUUUGAACAGAACCAGUGACCCCCACUCAGCAGAGUGACAUAACAUAAAUAUAACCGUGAGCUCACAUGAAGUACAUCACUCUCUUUUUGCAGAUGUAUGCAUGCUUUACUAUUUUACAGACAGCACAAACAGAACCACAUCACUAAAUACUUUCAACACUUGUUUACCAAGUAUCUUACAGGCAUUGUGCGUUUCGUUUGGCCUGCACAACAUUUACGUAGAAGCAAGACGACAGUUGAAGCCAAAAAUUAACCAAAACUCCCCCUAGUGUCUGUUUAAAGUACAAAUUUUAUGAAUAACCAGCCCCUACAUUGAAAGCUCUCAUUCACUUGUUUUUUUUUUUCCCAAUACAUUUGCUCCGGUCUCUCGUAUAAAUGCUCUGUAAGUCAUUUUCAAUAGCAAACAGCUCUGGCGCUCCUGUUUCAGGAAGCAGAAAUUAGCCAGGGAGAGUGGGGCAGAAAAUGGAGGGAUACUAUUUGUGAUAUUUGGACAUCUCCCUCUCAUUGCAACAAGGAACAUGACUCUUCCACUGUCUCCUUUUGUUCUGCAAGGCUGAUGUUUUAUCUCCACAAUUAACACAAGCCUGAAGAAGUUCUGCCCUGUUGUGGAGUUGCUAAUGCUAACGGUUAGCUUCUCUAAGCUGAUAUGCGCUCUGCUUUCUCCUGGCUGCAAAAAUCAACACCCCUCCCGGACACCAGCCAAAGGAAUGAUUCCGGGAAUGCAAAUUCGAGUGACGUAAACCUGUGUGGCUUUAUCUGACCUGAGCUUUUCCACUGCUGUUUUCCUUCUGUGGAUAAUGCACGAAAUAGGGGUAGAAAACUAUUUUCAUGUUCAGCCUGCAUGUUAAACUCAGAGGGGCCGAUCAUAUUUCAGAAAUAACAAGUAAAAACCGGUUUCUCAGUGAACUUGCUCUUUAAACAAAUGGGACGUUUUCCUAACUAAAAAAUGAAAUAGUACAGCAACAAAAAGUGUCAGGAAACAGAGAAUUCAUGGCCAUGUUUGUUAAUGUUGAAGAUCCAUCUGUAGAGCUCCGGACGUCACGUGACUCUCAGAGAGUAGACGCCAUGUUGGCAGGCAACAAAGGUAAACAAAAUGAACGGGAUCGGCUUGGAUUUUACUCCGUCGGAGUUUACUUCACACUUUAAAACCGAAGAAAUCCUUUUAUAUAGUCAGAAAUUAAAUAGACUAAACAUCUCCGACCCUUACCGUGCCCCUGGGAUACUUUGCUGUGCUGUUUGAAUGUAUAAACUGAACGCCAAGAGAAAUCACUAGUUUGAUUUUUUCCCGUGAAUAAAAUAAAUAUGUCAGGCAGGAGCGUCUCAGGAUCUGUCUGAGAUCUGUCUCGGUGAGACAGAUAAUAGCAAUCCAAAGUGCUUUUUAUGUGUGAUCUGACAAUUGAUCAGCCGUUGCUUAAAAAUGAAAUGCAGCUUAGCCGGUUAAUUGCUGUGAUCAUAAAACAUGUAAACGGCAGCACGCAGAACUCACGAGGCAACGUUUUAUGUGAUGUUUACUUGUUGCUGAGUAAUAAAACAGGAAAAGCCACGCCAAAAUAAGUUUAGGAAGCCCACUAAGAAUUGUAAUAAAAGCAUUUAAAAUAAAUACCAUACACAGUUGAGGAAACAUUGGUUUAAGUACCUGAUAUGAAGUGGUCGCUGCAUAUGCAAAAACCUUUACUCUCGGGGUCCCACAGCUUCAUUUUUGCCCGGUCACUAGCGCGUUUUACUGCAAUGAUCCAACGUUUGCGGCGCUCCUGAUCUUGGGGAAUCCUGUAGAUGGCUCAUCCCUGAUGUCGUCCGCGUCUGUUCUGGCAUCCUGGGGCACAACAGGAAUCUAUCAUAUUUCCCGUUUGAGUUUUCUGACAAUAACAAAUAGUCCAGCUGCGGGCUUCUGCCUGCCAAGAUGGCACCGUUUCGAUUUGAACUGUUGCAUGCCGGAAGAAGUCAUGUCAACUCCCGGAGCUCUACUGACAGUGAAACGUUUUUAGUGUGGUUCCUUUUUGCAAAAUAAACAUGAAUUUCUAUUGUACACUUACAUUUUACAGUCCGUCUUUAACACUUCAGAGUGAUCAGAGUUGCUGAGGUUUGUCAUUUCAGCUGCAAUUUUGAAGUUGCAACAUUAUCUGUUAGAAUAUUCUUAACCACUCUUGUUCCCUUUUUAAUGUAAUACUUUUGGUUUUGAGGGUUUCCAGAAUUGCAGAAGCUUCCGACCAGUGAGAAUUUUUU
Nothobranchius furzeri (turquoise killifish) is the source of this 4713-nucleotide non-coding RNA. NCBI's taxonomy places the organism in Eukaryota, Metazoa, Chordata, Actinopteri, Cyprinodontiformes, Nothobranchiidae. The record is from RefSeq and is a predicted model, not a curated record.